This 1068-nucleotide long non-coding RNA is filed under the name Sus scrofa (pig). RNAcentral describes it as "lncRNA (ENSSSCG00060033546.1)". The record is from RNAcentral. Lineage: Eukaryota; Metazoa; Chordata; Mammalia; Artiodactyla; Suidae.
CCUUCACCUUCCUGGAGCCGCUGCAACUGCUGCAGCCGCGGACCCCACAGGGUCUCAGCCUCUCUUUCGUUAUCAUGCUUUCCCUUGACGCAUGAAUUGCCCUCCGGGUGUUAACUUUCCCACGCAUCUCAGCUCUCAGAGAGUCUCAACGGCCGAGAAUGGAGUCUCAACGGCCGAGAACGGCCAAGCAAGCCUGGCUGAUUUUCAGAAUCAGCGGAGAGAUAUUUUAAACAAGGUCGAUUUCUGGCUUAGCCCAUCAGAGAUAAUGUAGGACUUCCUCCAAAGCUAGUACCUGAGCUGACUGUGGCACCAAAUUGUGGCUGAAGGUGGGAAGCGUCUACCUUUCCCGCAGGAACUAUGGCAUCUUAAGAACUAACUUGGCAAACGGCUAUUUCAUUUUGCACGUCGUGCCCAGAGGCUGAAACUCCUUAUAAAAAGUCGGUGCAGCAUCCUGCUGUCUCUUCUCGCCCUCACCUUGGCCUUCGUGCGUCUCGGAACCAGAGCCCCAGCAGCUGGGGAAACAAACCGAUGCGAGAUUUCCCGACCACGGUGCUGGCCCAGGCGUUGGCAAAGAGUUGGGAGCAAAGAAGAGGGGAGCAAAUGGACGUGGACUUUGGAGAUGCCAGGGAUUCAACACAGGGCCUCCUGCAUGCUAAGAACGCACUCUACCACUGAGCUACACCCCCACGGCCAGCUAACACGUUCCCUCUUUUCAGAAGACGAUUUAAUGGCAGUAUGUCCCUGCCUUGCUUUUUGAGAACCUGAAACUGCUGGAGCGAAGAUCUUGGAUGCACAACUCCAUUCUUUCUGAAACUCCUUUACUGCCUUCUCUUUCACAGCGACACGAGGACAAAGGCAACUUCAAGCUAGGCAGAAAGGCACUGUGAAUACAAUCUAUUCCCCCUGGUCAACCUGUCCCCAAAGACCCAGCUCCAAAAAAACUUGAACAAAAGAAGGCAAAGAAGAGCCCUUUCCUAGCCCUGUCUCUUGGAAGAGUCUAGAAUCCACAACAUUCAAAGAGCAAUGAGGGGAAACAGUCCUAUAGCCUAAGUCACUAGGGAGGAAAAG